CUCCGUUUCCUCUUCGACGCCGUGUGCCCGAGGCUUCGCCUGAUUCCUGCCCUAACCGCCCAUGGUGGUUCCUCCUCUCCCACGUGUGCAUAAGCCCGGGACCAAGAGAAGUCGGCAUAUCUCUUUUCCCUCUCCGCAAUCGAGCGACCUCCCUUGUGCCCUAGUGAGCCGCGAGCCGAUUCUCCUUUUGUGUGCCGACGUCGCCUCCCUUCAUCCUCCCUGUCCAAGCACCGGCGACCCGCGAGUCACCGCUGGCCGAGCCGCCCUCCCGAUUCUCCCUCCUUGCCGGCGCUUGAGCAAGAGUCGGUCGACUCCUCUGCCUCCCGAUCCCUCUCCCCUCCAGCGACGCUAACCACCGUUGUGCCCUAGAUUGGGUUCACAGUCACCGAUCACGCGGACGUCGACGCACAGUACCUCUUCGCUGUGCCCUAGCACCGACAGCCGACUUCACCUGUGCCCUAGCUCCGAACCUUGCCUCCUCCUCAGAGCAGUAGUGAUUUGAUAGUGUGACAGCAAGAGGGUUGCAGGUUCGAUCAGUAGCAUUACUGUUCUGCUGAUUUCGGGCUGGCAAGUGCUGAGUGGAUUACUAAACAGUAGCCAUACUCAGCUACGGCCACCGUCUCAUAGCUGUGGACUUCCCCGGUCGAGAAUCCUAUUAGCUACCACGAAUUUGGACUUUGACGCGAGACGAGUAUCUCGACGUCGGAUUUGGACCGAUUAGACUUUUCAU
This is a long non-coding RNA of Zingiber officinale, 730 nucleotides long. RefSeq lists it as uncharacterized. The transcript has 3 exons. The record is from RefSeq and is a predicted model, not a curated record. NCBI's taxonomy places the organism in Eukaryota, Viridiplantae, Streptophyta, Magnoliopsida, Zingiberales, Zingiberaceae.